UAUUAAAGUGGCAGAUUAAUUGCGAAGGAUUUAAGCUCCUUUAAUGAAUUUUCCUUUAAUAA
RNAcentral lists this transfer RNA (62 nucleotides) under Ornithodoros turicata. RNAcentral's name for it is "tRNA-Leu". The record is from RNAcentral. Lineage: Eukaryota; Metazoa; Arthropoda; Arachnida; Ixodida; Argasidae.